AUAGUAAGUUAGAGGACUUAAAGAGUGAAGUGGGAAGUUGGCAAAAGAAAAAACUCUAGAAAUUUCUUUGGACUUCACUCAACCACUAGAUGGGUAGAAUUGAUAACCCGAUAAAAUAUCCCUUUGAUGAUCUAGCCAGGUAUCAAUUGACUUAGAAUUGCCACGAUAACUCUCAUUUCUAGGAUAAUUUGGUCGUAUUAUUGAUUUAUCUAUUUUACUCGAGGAUGAGUAAAAGUUCAAAUUGGAGGGUGUGAUCAAUACAUUAAUUAUGCCACGAGAAGUAUUAUACCUGUGCUAUUUAAUCUCUAU
This 309-nucleotide long non-coding RNA is filed under the name Elaeis guineensis (African oil palm). RNAcentral's name for it is "long non-coding RNA (EGUI_LNC024436)". The record is from RNAcentral. Lineage: Eukaryota; Viridiplantae; Streptophyta; Magnoliopsida; Arecales; Arecaceae.